GGGGCCGUGGGGUAGCGGUAUCCUUCGGGCCUUGGGUGCCCGCCACCCCGGUUCGAAUCCGGGCGGCCCCA
Molecule: transfer RNA, 71 nt
Filed under: Halobacteriales archaeon QS_4_69_31
Lineage: Archaea; Methanobacteriati; Methanobacteriota; Halobacteria; Halobacteriales
Description: tRNA-Pro
Rfam family: tRNA
About the family: Transfer RNA (tRNA) molecules are approximately 80 nucleotides in length. Their secondary structure includes four short double-helical elements and three loops (D, anti-codon, and T loops).
Source: RNAcentral